GCCUGACUGGCUCAGUUGGUAGAGCACGUGACUCUUGAUCUUGGGGUUUUGAAUUCAAGCCCCACGUUGGGUG
RNAcentral lists this transfer RNA (73 nucleotides) under Ailuropoda melanoleuca (giant panda). It matches the Rfam family "tRNA". Rfam says of the family: Transfer RNA (tRNA) molecules are approximately 80 nucleotides in length. Lineage: Eukaryota; Metazoa; Chordata; Mammalia; Carnivora; Ursidae. The record is from Rfam by way of RNAcentral.